AGAAAGAACACUGGAACUGCUAAUUCCAUAAAUCCACAACUAACAUUGUGGCUUUCUU
Molecule: transfer RNA, 58 nt
Filed under: Proechimys hoplomyoides (Guyanan spiny-rat)
Lineage: Eukaryota; Metazoa; Chordata; Mammalia; Rodentia; Echimyidae
Description: tRNA-Ser
Source: RNAcentral